This 69-nucleotide transfer RNA is filed under the name Lyciasalamandra flavimembris. Its description in RNAcentral is "tRNA-Asp". Lineage: Eukaryota; Metazoa; Chordata; Amphibia; Caudata; Salamandridae. The record is from RNAcentral.
AAGACAUUAGUAAAACUAUUACAAGGUCUUGUCAAGACCUAAUCAUAAAUUAAAACCUUAUAUGUCUUA